AUGUGAUCGUCUCUCGCAUAUCAAUAAGCGGAGGAAAAGAAACUAACAAGGAUUCCCCUAGUAACGGCGAGUGAAGCGGGAAGAGCUCAAAUUUGAAAUCUUAAAGGGUUUCCCUUUACGAAUUGUAGUUUAAAGAAGUGUUUUCUGUUGAGGUUUUGGUAAAAGUUCUUUGGAAUAGGACAUCAUAGAGGGUGAGAAUCCCGUAUUUGAUCCUUUACUUUCAACUUUGUGAUACACUUUCAAAGAGUCGGAUUGUUUGGGAAUGCAGUCCAAAAUGGGUGGUAAAUUUCAUCUAAAGCUAAAUAUUGGCGAGAGACCGAUAGCGAACAAGUACCGUGAGGGAAAGAUGAAAAGAACUUUGAAAAGAGAGUUAAACAGUACGUGAAAUUGUCAAAAGGGAAGCGUUUGACACCAGUGUUGUUUUUCUGAAAAUCAAUUAAAGAACUGUUUAUGCUAAGUUGUUUAGACUUUAUCAGCUAUCUGUUUAGUUUUGAGCUUUUCUUUAAUGCACUUUUCAGUUAACAAGUCAACAUCAAUUUCCUUUUGCUGUAAAAAAGCUUGAGGAAGGUGGCUUGAGAUUCGUCUUAAGUGUUUAUAGCCUCUUGCCUUUGCAGUCGGAGAGAUUGAGGUCUGCAGCGUAGAUCCUUCGGGGCUAAAUGCAUUUGUGCUAAGUUAUAACAUUUUAUAGACAACUUGUUGACUAUGAUUUGUCUUGUAGCUUACUCGCUUAUGUUAUUUUACCUACGCUUAGGAUGUUGAAGUCAUCGUAUCGCGC
Molecule: ribosomal RNA, 775 nt
Filed under: uncultured Neocallimastigales
Lineage: Eukaryota; Fungi; Neocallimastigomycota; Neocallimastigomycetes; Neocallimastigales
Description: partial large subunit ribosomal RNA
Rfam family: Eukaryotic large subunit ribosomal RNA
Source: RNAcentral